Molecule: ribosomal RNA, 724 nt
Filed under: bacterium IMCC8426
Lineage: Bacteria
Description: bacterial SSU rRNA
Rfam family: Bacterial small subunit ribosomal RNA
Source: RNAcentral
AUUGAACGCUGGCGGCAGGCCUAACUCAUGCAAGUCGAGCGCGAAAACACUUCGGUGUGAGUAGAGCGGCGGACGGGUGAGUAAUGCUUGGGAAUCUGCCCAGUAGUGGGGGAUAACGUGUGGAAACGCACGCUAAUACCGCAUACGUCCUACGGGAGAAAGCAGGGGAUCUUCGGACCUUGCGCUAUUGGAUGAGCCCAAGUCGGAUUAGCUAGUUGGUGGGGUAAUGGCCUACCAAGGCGACGAUCCGUAGCUGGUCUGAGAGGAUGAUCAGCCACACUGGGACUGAGACACGGCCCAGACUCCUACGGGAGGCAGCAGUGGGGAAUAUUGCACAAUGGGCGAAAGCCUGAUGCAGCCAUGCCGCGUGUGUGAAGAAGGCUCUAGGGUUGUAAAGCACUUUCAGUAGGGAGGAAAAGCUUAAGGUUAAUAACCUUGAGCCCUGACGUUACCUACAGAAGAAGCACCGGCAAACUCCGUGCCAGCAGCCGCGGUAAUACGGAGGGUGCGAGCGUUAAUCGGAAUUACUGGGCGUAAAGCGCGCGUAGGUGGUUUGAUAAGCUAGCUGUGAAAGCCCCGGGCUCAACCUGGGAACUGCAGUUAGAACUGUCUGACUAGAGUACAGUAGAGGGUGGCGGAAUUUCCUGUGUAGCGGUGAAAUGCGUAGAUAUAGGAAGGAACAUCAGUGGCGAAGGCGGCCACCUGGACUGAUACUGACACUGAG